RNAcentral lists this small nuclear RNA (101 nucleotides) under Microtus ochrogaster (prairie vole). Lineage: Eukaryota; Metazoa; Chordata; Mammalia; Rodentia; Cricetidae. The record is from RNAcentral.
AUGAUUCCUGGAGCACAGAUACUAAAACUGAAACAAUACAGAGAUCAGAUUGGUCCCUGCACAAGGAUAACAUUCAAAUUCGUGAACUAUUCCAUAUUUUU